AUACGGAGGGUGCGAGCGUUAAUCGGAAUUACUGGGCGUAAAGCGUACGUAGGCGGUUUGCUAAGUCAGAUGUGAAAGCCCCGGGCUUAACCUGGGAACUGCAUUUGAUACUGGCAGACUAGAGUAUGAUAGAGGGGGGUAGAAUUCCUGGUGUAGCGGUGAAAUGCGUAGAUAUCGGGAGGAAUACCAGUGGCGAAGGCGGCCCCCUGGAUCAAUACUGACGCUGAGGUACGAAAGCGUGGGGAGCGAACAGGAUUAGAAACCCUAGUAGUCC
This 274-nucleotide ribosomal RNA is filed under the name uncultured bacterium. RNAcentral's name for it is "partial 16S ribosomal RNA". It matches the Rfam family "Bacterial small subunit ribosomal RNA", at positions 523 to 796 of the family's 1533-position model. The record is from RNAcentral.